Molecule: ribosomal RNA, 253 nt
Filed under: uncultured bacterium
Lineage: Bacteria
Description: partial 16S ribosomal RNA
Rfam family: Bacterial small subunit ribosomal RNA
Source: RNAcentral
UACGUAGGGGGCAAGCGUUGUCCGGAUUUAUUGGGCGUAAAGAGCGUGUAGGCGGCUAAGUAAGUCUGCUGUGAAAACUCGAGGCUUAACCUCGAGCUGUCGGCGGAAACUAUUUGGCUAGAGUCCGGAAGAGGAGAAUGGAAUUCCCGGUGUAGCGGUGAAAUGCGCAGAUAUCGGGAAGAACACCCGUGGCGAAGGCGGUUCUCUGGGACGGUACUGACGCUGAGACGCGAAAGCGUGGGGAGCGAACAGG